UGGGGAAUAUUGCACAAUGGGCGCAAGCCUGAUGCAGCCAUGCCGCGUGUAUGAAGAAGGCCUUCGGGUUGUAAAGUACUUUCAGCGAGGAGGAAGGCGUUGUGGUUAAUAACCGCAGCGAUUGACGUUACUCGCAGAAGAAGCACCGGCUAACUCCGUGCCAGCAGCCGCGGUAAUACGGAGGGUGCAAGCGUUAAUCGGAAUUACUGGGUGUAAAGCGCACGCAGGCGGUCUGUCAAGUCGGAUGUGAAAUCCCCGGGCUCAACCUGGGAACUGCAUCCGAAACUGGCAGGCUAGAGUCUUGUAGAGGGGGGCAGAAUUCCAGGUGUAGCGGUGAAAUGCGUAGAGAUCUGGAGGAAUACCGGUGGCGAAGGCGGCCCCCUGGACAAAGACUGACGCUCAGGUGCGAAAGCGUGGGGAGCAAACA
Molecule: ribosomal RNA, 427 nt
Filed under: uncultured bacterium
Lineage: Bacteria
Description: partial 16S ribosomal RNA
Rfam family: Bacterial small subunit ribosomal RNA
Source: RNAcentral